AAGCACAACCCACACAAGGCCAAGACCAGACUCAGCGACAUCAACUGGCCAUUUCGACGAUGAUUAUUCACGAAGUUCUCAAUCAAGAUAUCAAGCCAGAGCUGAACCAAAGCCACCGGCACCAGCUGAUUCAGUUGAUGAACAUCCUCCAGUAGCACACCGAACCAGAACUCCACUGUCAACCAAACGAAAAUCAGUGGCAACUAUAGAAGCUCGACAUGGUGAUACUUACAG
Molecule: long non-coding RNA, 234 nt
Organism: Gigantopelta aegis
Lineage: Eukaryota; Metazoa; Mollusca; Gastropoda; Neomphalida; Peltospiridae
Exons: 3
Source: RefSeq, a predicted model, not a curated record